UAAUUAUUAAUAUUUAUUAAUAGAAAAAAUAUUAUUAAUUAUUUAUAAUUAAUUAUAAAUAAUAAAUUAAUAAUAAUAAUUAUCUAAUUAUUAAUAUUUAAUUAUAAAUAAUAAAUUAUUUAAAUUAUUUAAUUAUUAAAGUAAUAAAUAAUAAUUUAAAUAUAUUAAUUAGAUUAAUUAAUAAUUUACUGCUAUUAAAAUUAAAUUUAGAUUUUAAUUAAUCUUGUUCUCAUCAAGGAACAAGCUUGUUCCAGGAAACGGGUGGAACAGCAGUUCCAGCCUUAUACCAGCUAGUUCCAGAUUCCCGGAAACUACUGUUCCCGGGAACCAAACAUUGCGUUUGGGAACAAAGGGGGGAACAAGGGCUUAUUCCCCCCCUUGUUCCCGAACCAAACACUACCUUAGAGAAGAGAUCAUUUAUCCCAUUCUCGUCCUUAUGCUUUUUCAUCUUAUUA
RNAcentral lists this long non-coding RNA (455 nucleotides) under Ananas comosus (pineapple). RNAcentral's name for it is "long non-coding RNA (ACOM_LNC021321)". Lineage: Eukaryota; Viridiplantae; Streptophyta; Magnoliopsida; Poales; Bromeliaceae. The record is from RNAcentral.